RNAcentral lists this ribosomal RNA (440 nucleotides) under uncultured bacterium. RNAcentral describes it as "partial 16S ribosomal RNA". It matches the Rfam family "Bacterial small subunit ribosomal RNA", at positions 338 to 795 of the family's 1533-position model. The record is from RNAcentral.
CCUACGGGAGGCAGCAGUGGGGAAUAUUGCACAAUGGGGGAAACCCUGAUGCAGCGAAGCCGCGUGAGUGAAGAAGUACUUCGGUACGUAAAGCUCUAUCAGCAGGGAAGCAAAUGACGGUACCUGUCUAAGAAGCCCCGGCUAACUACGUGCCAGCAGCCGCGGUAAUACGUAGGGGGCAAGCGUUAUCCGGAUUUAAUGGGUGUAAAGGGAGCGUAGGCGGCAGCGCAAGUCUGGAGUGAAAUCCCAUGGCUUAACCAUGGACCUGCUUUUGAAACUGUGCAGCUAGAGUGCAGGAGAGGUAAGCGGAAUGCCUGGUGUAGCGGUGAAAUGCGUAGAUAUUAGGCGGAACACCAGUGGCGAAGGCGGCUUACUGGACUUUAACUGACGUUGAGGCUCGAAAGCGUGGGGAGCAAACAGGAUUAGAUACCCCUGUAGUC